GUGGCCUUCCCUUUUUUGGACGUUAGCGGCGGACGGGUGAGUAACACGUGGAUAACCUACCUAUAAGACUGGGAUAACUUCGGGAAACCGGAGCUAAUACCGGAUGAUAUUUUGAACCGCAUGGUUCAAAAGUGAAAGACGGUCUUGCUGUCACUUAUAGAUGGAUCCGCGCUGCAUUAGCUAGUUGGUAAGGUAACGGCUUACCAAGGCAACGAUGCAUAGCCGACCUGAGAGGGUGAUCGGCCACACUGGAACUGAGACACGGUCCAGACUCCUACGGGAGGCAGCAGUAGGGAAUCUUCCGCAAUGGGCGAAAGCCUGACGGAGCAACGCCGCGUGAGUGAUGAAGGUCUUCGGAUCGUAAAACUCUGUUAUUAGGGAAGAACAUAUGUGUAAGUAACUGUGCACAUCUUGACGGUACCUAAUCAGAAAGCCACGGCUAACUACGUGCCAGCAGCCGCGGUAAUACGUAGGUGGCAAGCGUUAUCCGGAAUUAUUGGGCGUAAAGCGCGCGUAGGCGGUUUUUUAAGUCUGAUGUGAAAGCCCACGGCUCAACCGUGGAGGGUCAUUGGAAACUGGAAAACUUGAGUGCAGAAGAGGAAAGUGGAAUUCCAUGUGUAGCGGUGAAAUGCGCAGAGAUAUGGAGGAACACCAGUGGCGAAGGCGACUUUCUGGUCUGUAACUGACGCUGAUGUGCGAAAGCGUGGGGAUCAAACAGGAUUAGAUACCCUGGUAGUCCACGCCGUAAACGAUGAGUGCUAAGUGUUAGGGGGUUUCCGCCCCUUAGUGCUGCAGCUAACGCAUUAAGCACUCCGCCUGGGGAGUACGACCGCAAGNUUGAAACUCAAAGGAAUUGACGGGGACCCGCACAAGCGGUGGAGCAUGUGGUUUAAUUCGAAGCAACGCGAAGAACCUUACCNAAUCUUGACAUCCUUUGACAACUCUAGAGAUAGAGCCUUCCCCUUCGGGGGACAAAGUGACAGGUGGUGCAUGGUUGUCGUCAGCUCGUGUCGUGAGAUGUUGGGUUAAGUCCCGCAACGAGCGCAACCCUUAAGCUUAGUUGCCAUCAUUAAGUUGGGCACUCUAAGUUGACUGCCGGUGACAAACCGGAGGAAGGUGGGGAUGACGUCAAAUCAUCAUGCCCCUUAUGAUUUGGGCUACACACGUGCUACAAUGGACAAUACAAAGGGCAGCGAAACCGCGAGGUCAAGCAAAUCCCAUAAAGUUGUUCUCAGUUCGGAUUGUAGUCUGCAACUCGACUACAUGAAGCUGGAAUCGCUAGUAAUCGUAGAUCAGCAUGCUACGGUGAAUACGUUCCCGGGUCUUGUACACACCGCCUCUGUAAAAACAAAAGGCGACUGGUAAUA
This 1367-nucleotide ribosomal RNA is filed under the name Staphylococcus sp. SPD4. Its description in RNAcentral is "bacterial SSU rRNA". It matches the Rfam family "Bacterial small subunit ribosomal RNA", at positions 66 to 1423 of the family's 1533-position model. Lineage: Bacteria; Bacillati; Bacillota; Bacilli; Caryophanales; Staphylococcaceae. The record is from RNAcentral.